Molecule: ribosomal RNA, 253 nt
Filed under: uncultured bacterium
Lineage: Bacteria
Description: partial 16S ribosomal RNA
Rfam family: Bacterial small subunit ribosomal RNA
Source: RNAcentral
UACGUAGGGUGCAAGCGUUAAUCGGAAUUACUGGGCGUAAAGCGUGCGCAGGCGGUUCGGAAAGAAGGAUGUGAAAUCCCAGGGCUUAACCUUGGAACUGCAUUUUUAACUACCGGACUAGAGUGUGUCAGAGGGAGGUGGAAUUCCGCGUGUAGCAGUGAAAUGCGUAGAGAUGCGGAGGAACACCGAUGGCAAAGGCAGCCUCCUGGGAUAACACUGACGCUCAGGCACGAAAGCGUGGGGAGCAAACAGG